Molecule: ribosomal RNA, 253 nt
Filed under: uncultured bacterium
Lineage: Bacteria
Description: partial 16S ribosomal RNA
Rfam family: Bacterial small subunit ribosomal RNA
Source: RNAcentral
UACAGAGGUCUCAAGCGUUGUUCGGAUUCAUUGGGCGUAAAGGGUGCGUAGGCGGCGCGGUAAGUCGGGUGUGAAAUUUCGGAGCUUAACUCCGAAACUGCAUUCGAUACUGCUGUGCUUGAGGACUGGAGAGGGGACUGGAAUUUACGGUGUAGCAGUGAAAUGCGUAGAGAUCGUAAGGAAGACCAGUGGCGAAGGCGGGUCUCUGGACAGUUCCUGACACUGAGGCACGAAGGCCAGGGGAGCAAACGGG